UCCUUCUGAGGGUUGUACCUGGAGAAUUCCCAGUACUCUACCAGUCUCUACUAUGGAGGGAGAGUCAGGCAGAGGCAUAUCCAUUCUAUUCCUAGCUUGGGCAGUGGCUAGAGAGUGGAAGGCAAUCUGCUACAAGU
This is a small nucleolar RNA of Tachyglossus aculeatus (Australian echidna), 137 nucleotides long. NCBI's taxonomy places the organism in Eukaryota, Metazoa, Chordata, Mammalia, Monotremata, Tachyglossidae. The record is from RefSeq and is a predicted model, not a curated record.